ACUUAAAUUGAAGAGUUUGAUCAUGGCUCAGAUUGAACGCUGGCGGCAGGCCUAACACAUGCAAGUCGAGCGGUAGCACAGAGAGCUUGCUCUCGGGUGACGAGCGGCGGACGGGUGAGUAAUGUCUGGGAAACUGCCUGAUGGAGGGGGAUAACUACUGGAAACGGUAGCUAAUACCGCAUAAUGUCGCAAGACCAAAGUGGGGGACCUUCGGGCCUCAUGCCAUCAGAUGUGCCCAGAUGGGAUUAGCUGGUAGGUGGGGUAACGGCUCACCUAGGCGACGAUCCCUAGCUGGUCUGAGAGGAUGACCAGCCACACUGGAACUGAGACACGGUCCAGACUCCUACGGGAGGCAGCAGUGGGGAAUAUUGCACAAUGGGCGCAAGCCUGAUGCAGCCAUGCCGCGUGUGUGAAGAAGGCCUUCGGGUUGUAAAGCACUUUCAGCGGGGAGGAAGGCGGUGAGGUUAAUAACCUCAUCGAUUGACGUUACCCGCAGAAGAAGCACCGGCUAACUCCGUGCCAGCAGCCGCGGUAAUACGGAGGGUGCAAGCGUUAAUCGGCAUUACUGGGCGUAAAG
This 577-nucleotide ribosomal RNA is filed under the name Klebsiella pneumoniae subsp. pneumoniae. Its description in RNAcentral is "bacterial SSU rRNA". It matches the Rfam family "Bacterial small subunit ribosomal RNA", at positions 1 to 565 of the family's 1533-position model. Lineage: Bacteria; Pseudomonadati; Pseudomonadota; Gammaproteobacteria; Enterobacterales; Enterobacteriaceae. The record is from RNAcentral.